Antrostomus carolinensis (chuck-will's-widow) is the source of this 1322-nucleotide RNA transcript. It is a transcript of the gene named short chain dehydrogenase/reductase family 42E, member 1, with no coding region annotated. The record is from RefSeq and is a predicted model, not a curated record. The transcript is spliced from 3 exons. Lineage: Eukaryota; Metazoa; Chordata; Aves; Caprimulgiformes; Caprimulgidae.
AUGUGUAUAUUUACAAUGUGUUUUAUAGGUCAAUUUCCUUCAAUAGUGCCAAAGGAAAGAGGAUGGAACCAGAAAACACUGCCAAGGAGACAGUCCUCGUUACUGGGGGAGGUGGUUAUUUUGGCUUCCGUUUAGGUUGUGCCAUAUACCAAAAGGGAGUUGAUGUGAUUCUCUUUGAUGUCAUGAACCCACUUCAAACUGUGCCAGAGGGAAUAAAGUUCAUGCAAGGGGAUGUCUGUUGCCUCUCUGAAGUGGAAGAGGCUCUUAGAGAUGUAAUCUGCGUAUUCCAUAUUGCUUCCUAUGGAAUGUCUGGCAGGGAGCAGCUGAACCGAAAACUUAUAGAAGAUGUUAAUGUGAAAGGAACAGAAAAUGUCAUCCAAGCCUGCAAGAGCUCAGGAGUGUCGAGUCUGGUUUAUACAAGUACAUAUAACGUGGUAUUUGGAGGGCAGAUUAUAGAAAAUGGGGAUGAAUCUCUGCCUUACCUACCUCUUCACCUUCACCCAGAUCACUACUCCCGGACCAAAUCUUUAGCUGAAAUGAAGGUGCUGGCAGCAAACGGUGCUGAGCUUGGAAAUGGGAAAGGUGUAUUGAGGACUUGUGCUCUCCGACCAGCAGGCAUCUAUGGGCCUGGAGAACAAAGACAUCUUCCAAGAAUAGUUAGUUACAUUGAAAGGGGACUGUUUAAAUUUGUAUAUGGAGAUCCUCUUAGUUUAGUAGAAUUUGUACACGUUGACAAUCUAGUCCAGGCUCAUAUCCUUGCUUCUGAGGCCCUCAAAGCCAGCAAAAAGCACAUAGCUGCAGGCCAAGCCUAUUUUAUUUCAGAUGGCAGGCCUGUAAAUAACUUUGAAUUUUUCCGACCGUUAGUGGAAGGUUUGGGUUACAAGUUCCCAACCUGUCGUCUUCCUCUCUCCCUUGUCUAUUUUUUUGCAUUCCUUACUGAAGUGGUUCAUUUUCUUGUAGGCCAUGUUUAUAAUUUUCAGCCUCUCCUCACUCGCACAGAGGUUUACAAAACUGGUGUCACGCAUUAUUUUAGCAUGGAGAAAGCCAGAAAGGAGCUGGGAUAUGAGCCUCAGCAAUACAGCCUGAAUGAAGUGGUUGAGUGGUUCAGAUCUCAGGGAUGUGGACCAAAGCCAAGAAAAUAUACUAUUAUGCAUCUUGUGAGGGCUGGAGGAUUGCUCUUGCUGCUGAUUGCUGUGAUGGUCUCAUGGUUUCCAUCUGUAGUUACAUUUUCACUCUGAAAGAUGAAACACUGAGUAUGGAGGACAGAAUGCAGUUGUGUUCUCUGAAUACUCUUGGUUAUGACAGACAGUUAAAAAUAAAUA